AGAAUCACUUCUGAAAUUAACAGAAAAGUAUGCGCGUUCCCAUUGCGGUCAGUGGGUUAAGAACUGGACAUAGUGGCUGUGAGGAUGUGGGCUCGAUCCCUGGUCUUGCUCAGUGGGUUAAAGAUCUAGUGUUGCAGCAAGUUGUGGCAUAGGUCACAGACAUGCCUGGGAUCUGGCAUUGCUGUGACUGUGGUGUAAGCCUGCAGCUGCAGCUCUGAUUCAACCCCUAGCCUGUGAACUUCCAUAUGCAGCAGCUGAGGCCAUAACGAGGAAAAAAAGUAUGAUGUGCUGCUACUAACACAGUCUUAGUCUCUGGGUGCUUACGUCAUGUGUACAUGCACGUGUAGGCAGUCUGAAUAUAAACAUACAUAAACUGCAGUGUGGUGUAUAUAUGUGUACGUCUGUCAAAAUUACUAUGACAAAGUCUUUCCUUGCAACUGAAGAUGAGGGCAAAAUAACGGGAGGAAAAAUUUAAUCCUCCCUGGCAGGCUGAGAUUAAUAAUGGGGCAGUAAGAAGAACAGGAAGACAUUUUCAAAAAAGCAGCAGGAAGCCUAAGCAGCCUAGACUCUGGCUGCUGCUGACUUAUCUUUUGUGUUCUUUUGUCCUUCAUCUACCUGCAAAACAGACUCCUACAACUUCCUUCCAGUGUUCAAGUCAGCCAGAGAACUCCAUGACGCCUUUUGACACAAUAGAAUUUUCUCCUCUUCCUUCUCAAUGGGGAUCACCAAUUGAGAAAACAAUUAUGAAUCCUAAGGUGAAAACAGAAUAUCCAUGCAGAGCUGGGCAUUUUUUUUUUAACCUCUGGGGAUUAUUGAUUUAUGCAGUAACUUUUGUCCUUAGUAAAUCUCAAUUUUCAAUGGCAUGCAAUUGUGUAGCUAGAAGCCAAACUCCUGGGGACUUUCUUCAAUUAAUACCUACUUUCUUGGGAAGUUGUCUUUCUCCAUAGGACUUCGACGUAGACAAAAUGAAAUUGAAAAAAGUAUGCCAAAAUGAUGGGCUGAUGUCAAGGUCUAACUUGCCUUAGAGUAGCUCACAAUUAGUUUUCUUUUAUUUUAAAUAAACACACACACUGGCUUUUAUUAUUUUGUUUGUUUGUUUAUUUUUUGCCAUGCCUGUGGCAUGUGGAGGUUCCUGAGCCAGAGAUCCAACCCAUGCCACAGCAGCACCCUAAGUUGUGACACCGCUGGAUCCUUAGCCUGCUGCACUGCCGAGGAAAUCCCACAAUUAAUUAGUGUUUAUUAAAAUUGGAAACCAAGUUUUUAUUAUGGUCGGUCACAUAAUACUCUAAAACAGUUUCUCAGUCUUGAUACAAUCAAUCUUCUGUGUUGGAUUAUUUUUUCCCAUGAGGAGCUGUCCUGAGAAUCUAGGGCAUUUAGGAGCGUUCCUAGGCUACACCUACUAAAUGCCAAUAGCGCCCCAGCUGCCAGUUGUGACAACCAAACACAAUCUCCAGAGACUGUCAGGUAUCUGCUGGGGGCAACCACUGCUAGAAAAUAUUGUGACCUCUCUUGCAAGUCACACAGAAAAUUCUGGGUCAUUACUGGCUGGAGAUCCUGUUAAUCUGAUCCAGAAUCCCUCAUUGGCAAGUUUUUUUUUUUAAAUACCAAGCCUCAGUGACCCCAUUUGUACAACACCUAAGUGAUCUUUCAUUCUUCUGGCUCAAUAGGCCUGCUUGUCUGUCUUCUGAUGCUGAAGUUCUGUGGGAUUAUAGGACAGUUCCUUCAGGACAACCACUAGCAGGGCUCUCACAAGCAGGGCUACAUGCUUUUAGAGUGACUCUAGACCAGCGUCCCUCUGCCUCUAGUCACCCAAAUCUGGCUCUCCUUUCCUCAGCCUCUAUCUCUAAAUCUGCUGAUUCUCCCAGUGAGUGAACAGGGAUCACCGGUAAUUCAGUAAACAGUAUAUUGCAUAUACUGAACUAUUGGUAUAUAGAGAAUUACUAGUAAAUAACGCUAGUUGCUGUGAUAAAUAAAACUUCAAAUUUCAGGGAUGUCUUAUUAAAAUUGAAGUUUGUUUUUCAUGCACAUCAUUGUCCAUUCACAUGUAUGUUUCUGGUUGGACACUUGCCAUGUGAUUCAGGGAACUAUAUCCAGUCUCUUGGGAUAGAUCAUGAUGGAAGAUAAUAUAAGAAAGGAAAUAUAUAUAUAUAUAUGUAUGACUGAGUCACUUUGCUGUACAGCAGAAAUUGGCACAACACUGUAAAUCAACUAUAUUCCAAUGAAAAAUUUUUUGCAAAUGAUGAAUGAGCAACAAGACCAUGGGGAAGGUAAGGUCCUAUCUCAACCAUCUCGGCUCCAAAGUGGCAUAUAAAGCCCUCAUUUCUAGAACUCAGUCACUGACCACACCUAACUGUAAGUCAGGUUUGGAAAUGGAGUUCAGCUGUGUAGCCAUUUGAAAAGGAAAACUGAUUUUGGUCAUAGGUUCUGCCAGAUGCAACUCUUCCAAUUCAUCUGGUCAUCCUGCUUGCUUCUGGCUUUGCCUUGUUCUUGGCUAGUCUGGAAACCAAAGUGGGCUCCCUUGAAGCUCUUCUCUUUGAUGUCCCAGAUUCCACUUGCUCCAGGGAGUAGCUUCUGUACUUGCUCAUUAGUUUUGGCUGGUCUAAACUGGAGUCAUUUCCAGGGUUCCCUUUCCCUCAUUGUCCCCAGACUGCAGAACAAAGUGAUGGCAGCUGGACAUGGUGGCUCUUGCCCCAUUUCGUGCUCAGCAGUGUGAGUUGGCCUCCCAGUGCCACCUGAUAACCUGCAUCCGUUGUGGUCUGUGGCUGGGAAUCCUUCCAUUGCUCUGGCAUCAUUCUUACAAAUGCAUUUUCCCACCUUCUUUCAUCUCCUUAAGCCCAAGUCCUCCUGGCCUUGGGUCUCUUGAUAGAUAAUAUCUCACCCUACUUUCCCUUCAAGCCAAAGAUUAUUAAAAGGAAUAUUUUAACCCACUCUUUACUUCAAAGCUUUGUUGAAGUUCUUCCACCCUUUCUUCUUUUAUUCUUUGUUGGAGAAAGAGGUGAUGCUUUUUUAUGAGACUGUACUUUAUAAAAUUGACAUAUCACUGACUAUCUGCUAGGACGACUUCCCUCAUUUGACCCUGCUCUCUCAGGCUUCCAAUUGUUCUUCCACAUAUGCUUGUGGUUUGAAUAAACAGGGAUGUGAGUGGCAAACUUCUAGAGUGAGAAAUAUACCUGGUUUCUCUUUUUACACCUGAUUUUUGCUGAAAUUCCUGGCAUUGCAGUCUCCUUCCAGGUUCACAAAAACUACGCUCUUUAGGAUCCCAGGACCUCGUAAAAGAUAUAUGACUUUUCAAAUCUAGAAACUUUUCCUCAGUUCAUGCACAUCUUCCUAUAGUAUUGGCUCUAUUGUCUAAUUCUCGUUUCUUGAAAUUCCUGUAUCUCUCAACUCUGCCAUCAUCCUGUCCUCAAGAUGAAGAUGCUUUUCCUCAUGUAUUUUUUUUUUUCCUGAUUUUGGACAUUUCCCAGAGUCUCAGUCUUUAGUUCUCCAUUUCUUUUAUUUUCUUUUCUUUUUGCUUUUAAAAUUUCCUUCUCAAAGAAUAUUUUUACAGCAAAAUAUCUAUGCCAAGGUCGUUCAGAUUUGGACUUGAGCUUCCUACAAGGGUCCAGCACCAUUUUUCACUGCUGAUAAUCUGCCUCCAUGGAAAAUAAGUGAAUCUAUAAUGAAUUAUAGAGCACUGCCUUCCAUUCUGACUUCUAUUCACCCUAGGACCCAACUUUAGAAUUUUAUACUUUACUAUUUUGUGAAGAAUAAUUUUAAUUUUAACUAUCAUCUGUUAAUAUACAAUUAUCAGGAAAUAAACAUUAGAAAAUCAAUAUUCACAUCUAAGGCCAUCAGCUAGGUAAAGCUAAGAUGUAUGCUUUCUUGUACAAAGUGGACAUUACAUGUGUUUAUUUUGGUAACGUUUUGCAUAUUGUUUGUAAACCUGUAUUUUGAGUUCAUAUUUUCCUUUUCCAUAGAUAAAAUUUAUAUCCUAUUUAGUGGCUUCAUAAUUUUCCGUAAUUUAAAUAACCAUUGCCUAAGGAAUACUGCAAUUCACAAAUAUGUAGACAAAUCCAUGCUCACAUUUUUAGUUUUUCUAUAGGAUACUUUCCUAGAAGCGAAAGUGAUGAUUCAAAGGGCUCGUAGAUAUUUAAUGAAUCUGAAUUGGAAAUCUGAGUCAGAAUUGCUCAGAGGUUGUCUCCUUGGCUUUGUGCACCAGCUGAGUAAGUAACCAAGAGGUUCCAAGCUCUGUACUCCUGUUUCUCCAGUCUCUCUCCUCCCUAAUCCAUUUUCCAUUCUGCUAGGUUAGACUUGCUUAAACCUUGUUUGCAUCUGUCAUCUCCCUGCUUAGAAACUUCUCAAAUAUACUCAGGCCUUAUGGCUAAAGCUAACUAGCCAUAGCCAUAAACUCUUUAGACUGUCAGUCAAGCCUGACCCUUUCCACGCAUGUGUUCACUUGGGCACACGCACACGCACACAUGCACACUCAGCCCUCUUUUCCAACCCCUUCUGUACCCUGCAGUCCUGAUUCCAUAUUUUUCCAUCCCACCCACCACCCUUUCAAAGAGCCACGAAGGCACCACAAGUGUCCUACUGCAAAAAUACUCUAUCCUAGGGGUACCUCCUCUUCAAACCUGAUCAGUCCUAUCUUUGCCACUGAUUUCCCACCUAUUUAAUCACAACGUAGCAUCAUCCUGGGAUUCAAAUAGACUCAGCUACUUCUAGAUGGGAUUGAAAUGAUUGUCACCUCUCACUCUCCUGAACAGAAUGCCGUGCACUCUAUAUUAUAGCCUAUAAAUGUAUCCCACGUUUAUUGAGCAUCUACUGUGCUCUAGCCACUGUAUUUGGUUCUGGGUAUACAAUGAUAACUAAAUCAGCUGUGAUCUCUAUCUUCAUCACAGGGACAAUCUUAGAGUUUGCUAAGUUUCUGCUUUCCUGUUCCUUCCCAUUUAAACCAAAAUAUUCUAAAUAUCUAUAUCUUCCCCAUAGGCUCACUUAGGGGCUAUUGUCACUCUACACCUUUCUCAAAGCUGUUUUCUGAUAAACUUAUUUCACAAACAGUGUGAGAACCCGGAAGGUUAAUGAAUAAGCACUACUCAAUCCAUGAAUGAUGAAAAGGAACUCUGCUUUAUCUGGCCUAUCCAGUGUAAUAAAUAAAACUGCAUUAUAUUCCAAAAAAAAAAAAAA
This 5166-nucleotide long non-coding RNA is filed under the name Sus scrofa (pig). Its description in RNAcentral is "lncRNA (ENSSSCG00015007942.1)". The record is from RNAcentral. Lineage: Eukaryota; Metazoa; Chordata; Mammalia; Artiodactyla; Suidae.